Molecule: ribosomal RNA, 460 nt
Filed under: uncultured bacterium
Lineage: Bacteria
Description: partial 16S ribosomal RNA
Rfam family: Bacterial small subunit ribosomal RNA
Source: RNAcentral
CCUACGGGUGGCAGCAGUGAGGAAUAUUGGUCAAUGGGCGAGAGCCUGAACCAGCCAAGUCGCGUGAAGGAUGAAGGAUCUAUGGUUUGUAAACUUCUUUUAUAUGGGAACAGAGUGAGGCGCGUGUUCCUUGUUGUAUGUACCCUAUGAAUAAGCAUCGGCUAACUCCGUACCAUCAGCCGCGGGAAUACGGAGGAUGCGAGCGUUGUCCGGAUUUAUUGGGUUUAAGGGUUGCGUAGGUGGUAAAUUAAGUCAGAGGUGAAAGUUUGUGGCUCAACCAUUAAAUUGCCGUUGAGACUGGUUGACUUGAGUAUAGUUGAGGUAGGCGGAAUGCGGGGUGUAGCGGUGAAAUGCAUAGAUAUCACGCAGAACUCCGAUUGCGAAGGCAGCUUACUAAACUAUAACUGACGCUGAGGCACGAAAGCGUGGGGAUCAAACAGGAUUAGAUACCCCGGUAGUC